ACUAGUCCCAACGAUUCUCGUUGGGAAAACCACAUAAAUCUCGUUGUUGUACGUUUUUAUGCUUGAUCGUUGAUAGAUUAAUACGGUGCAGAGCACCUUUUCAAUCUUGUGGCUUAAGUUCCGAUUGGUCUAUUCUUGGGGCUAAUUUACGAUUGGUUGCUGUCUGAAUUUGAUGCUGCAUCUGCUUCCAUUUUUUUGAGUGGUUCUUGCUGCGAUUUUCGUCUGUUUUGCUCGAUAUUAUCGUUGCUCUUUUUGUUUUGUGUACUCAUGUUUGUUGGUAUUCAUGUUCGAUGGUAGCCGCUAAACUUGACGAUGUUUGUAGGAAGUUUGGUCAUUUGAUUGGAGAUUGUCCCAUCCUGGCUCGAUGCGACCGUACGAAGUCUAGUGGAACUUCAUCUCAGGCUGGCAGAUCAUAUGCGACUGUGGCUGUUCCAACUGCCUUGUCGGGUAUGAUGUCGGAGGAUAUUCGUCCGCUCAUUCAGGAAGCUUUGAAGGACGCUCUUCCUUCUGCUCUAACUUCGACCUUUUCCACUGGUAUGAUUUCUCGUUCCUCUCAUACUUGGCACAUCGAUUUUGCUGUUUAUAAUCAUAUGACCAAUGCUCGCUGCUCUUUUACUACUAUAAAAUCCACCUAUUGAUUUAUAAAUGGUUGAUGGGUCUCGUCUUCAAGUAAACGGAAUUGGGACUAUGGUUCAUAAAAAAUUAUCUCUCCCUGAUACACUUUUUGUUUCAAAAUAAGUUCCUAAUCUCAUGUUUGUGGGUGAAUUGACUAAUGAUGAGUGUCGAAUCAUGUUUAUGUGAUUGGGUGUACUGUUCAGGACACGAAAGACGGGAGGGAGAUUAGGAGGAGGAGUAAACAUGGUCGCACUUUUUCACUGGACAGCUAUUUAUGUCAGGAUAAAGGAGAGUUGCUGGAUGGGAAGAAUGCGCGUAAUUUAACUAGACCUGAUCAGAGCAGUUCGGACAUGAGUAUUUUAGCCAAGAAGUUCUUUAAUUCUAAGUUUUUAGUCGACGGGCAUGUUGUUUCAGAUUCAGUUCCUGGUUAUUCUAGUUUUUCAAUGAAAUUUUCAGAUUGGGAUAUGGGGCAUUGUCUUUUGGGGAAUCCAAACGCUAUGAGACUUCGUACUAUGUUUCAAAAUAAAUGUUUAUCAGUAAUGGUAUUUCUGAUCA
Molecule: long non-coding RNA, 1170 nt
Filed under: Linum usitatissimum (flax)
Lineage: Eukaryota; Viridiplantae; Streptophyta; Magnoliopsida; Malpighiales; Linaceae
Description: long non-coding RNA (LUSI_LNC005247)
Source: RNAcentral